GCGCCCGUGAUGUAACGGCAGCGUAUCGCCAUGCCACGGCGGAAGUGCGAGUUCGAUUCUCGCCGGGUGCU
This 71-nucleotide transfer RNA is filed under the name Planctomycetales bacterium. RNAcentral's name for it is "tRNA-Gly". It matches the Rfam family "tRNA". From Rfam's summary of the family: Transfer RNA (tRNA) molecules are approximately 80 nucleotides in length. Their secondary structure includes four short double-helical elements and three loops (D, anti-codon, and T loops). Further hydrogen bonds mediate the characteristic L-shaped molecular structure. tRNAs have two regions of fundamental functional importance: the anti-codon, which is responsible for specific mRNA codon recognition, and the 3' end, to which the tRNAs corresponding amino acid is attached (by aminoacyl-tRNA synthetases). tRNAs cope with the degeneracy of the genetic code in two manners: having more than one tRNA (with a specific anti-codon) for a particular amino acid; and 'wobble' base-pairing, i.e. permitting non-standard base-pairing at the 3rd anti-codon position. Lineage: Bacteria; Pseudomonadati; Planctomycetota; Planctomycetia; Planctomycetales. The record is from RNAcentral.